Molecule: ribosomal RNA, 253 nt
Filed under: uncultured bacterium
Lineage: Bacteria
Description: partial 16S ribosomal RNA
Rfam family: Bacterial small subunit ribosomal RNA
Source: RNAcentral
UACGGAGGGUGCAAGCGUUGCUCGGAAUUAUUGGGCGUAAAGGGUAGGUAGGUGGUCUUGUUUGUCUGGGGUGAAAGCCUUGAGCUUAACUCAAGAAGUGCCCCAGAAACGGCAAGACUAGAGUCUUGGAGAGGGUCGUGGAAUUCCCGGUGUAGCGGUGAAAUGCGUAGAUAUCGUUUGGAACGCCGACGGUGAAAACAGAUGACUGGGGCUGUGCCGACGCUGAGACACGAAAGCCAGGGGAGCAAACGGG